UAUCUCUGUAGAGUCUGCAUAUCAAUAAGCGGAGGAAAAGAAACUAACAAGGAUUCCCCUAGUAACGGCGAGUGAAGCGGGAAGAGCUCAAAUUUGAAAUCUUCAAGGUUUGACCUUGACGAAUUGUAGUUUAAAGAAGUGUUUUCGGUUAGAGGAGUAGUAAAAGUUCUUUGGAAUAGGACAUCAUAGAGGGUGAGAAUCCCGUAUUUGACUAUUCUUUCUAGCUUUGUGAUACACUUUCAAAGAGUCGGAUUGUUUGGGAAUGCAGUCCAAAAUGGGUGGUAAAUUUCAUCUAAAGCUAAAUAUUGGCGAGAGACCGAUAGCGAACAAGUACCGUGAGGGAAAGAUGAAAGGAACUUUGAAAAGAGAGUUAAACAGUACGUGAAAUUGUCAGAAGGGAAGCGUUUGACACCAGUGUUGUUUUUCCGAAAAUCAAUUAAGAAUUGAUUCAUGCCAGGUUGUAUUGACCUUAUCAGCUUGCAAUUUGGUUUUGGGUCUCUUUUUGAUGCACUUUUCGGUUAACAAGUCAACAUCAAUUUCCUUUGCUGUAAAAAGGUAAGAGGAAGGUGGCUUCAAUUUCGGUUGAAGUGUUUAUAGCCUUUUAUCUCUGCAGUCGGGGAGAUUGAGGUCUGCAGCGUAGAUCCUUCGGGGCUAGAUACAUUUAUGCUAAGUUAUAGCUUUUCAUAGACAACUUGUUGACUAUGUUUAGUCAUGUAGCUUACUCGUAAGUGCUAUUUUACCUACGCUUAGGAUGUUGAAGACUCUACAGAGAUA
This 774-nucleotide ribosomal RNA is filed under the name uncultured Neocallimastigales. RNAcentral's name for it is "partial large subunit ribosomal RNA". It matches the Rfam family "Eukaryotic large subunit ribosomal RNA", at positions 24 to 642 of the family's 3401-position model. The record is from RNAcentral. Lineage: Eukaryota; Fungi; Neocallimastigomycota; Neocallimastigomycetes; Neocallimastigales.